This 253-nucleotide ribosomal RNA is filed under the name uncultured bacterium. RNAcentral describes it as "partial 16S ribosomal RNA". It matches the Rfam family "Bacterial small subunit ribosomal RNA", at positions 524 to 776 of the family's 1533-position model. The record is from RNAcentral.
UACGGAGGGUGCGAGCGUUGCUCGGAAUCAUUGGGCGUAAAGCGUACGCAGGCGGCUUCCUAAGUCGGGUGUGAAAGCCCAGGGCUCAACCCUGGGAUUGCGCCCGAGACUGGGGGGCUUGAAUGCGGGAGAGGGAAGCGGAAUUCCUGGUGUAGAGGUGAAAUUCGUAGAUAUCAGGAGGAACACCGGUGGCGAAAGCGGCUUCCUGGCCCGACAUUGACGCUCAUGUACGAAAGCGUGGGGAGCAAACAGG